Molecule: ribosomal RNA, 491 nt
Filed under: uncultured bacterium
Lineage: Bacteria
Description: bacterial SSU rRNA
Rfam family: Bacterial small subunit ribosomal RNA
Source: RNAcentral
GACGAACGCUGGCGGCGUGGAUUAGGCAUGCAAGUCGAACGGUAGGAUACCUUCGGGUAUCUGAGAGUGGCGAACGGGUGAGUAACACGUAGGUGAUCUACCCUCAAGAUUGGGACAACCCAGGGAAACUUGGGCUAAUACCGGAUGAAAGCAGCAGUGAUGUUGUUUGAAAGGUGGCGUAAGCUGCCGUUUGGGGAUGAGCCUGCGCUCUAUUAGUUAGUUGGCGGGGUAAAGGCCCACCAAGGCGAUGAUAGAUAGGCGGCCUUAACGGGUGGUCGCCCACACUGGGAUUGAGAUACGGCCCAGACUCCUACGGGAGGCAGCAGUCGAGAAUAGUCUACAAUGGCCGAAAGGCUGAUAGUGCGACGCCGCGUGAACGAAGAAGCCCUUCGGGUGUAAGUUCUUUUAUAUGUGAGCAGUGCUUUCUAUGUGAACAGCAUGGGGAGAGAGAUAUUAGCAUAUGAAUAAGCAACGGCUAACUACGUGCCAGC